Molecule: ribosomal RNA, 260 nt
Filed under: uncultured bacterium
Lineage: Bacteria
Description: partial 16S ribosomal RNA
Rfam family: Bacterial small subunit ribosomal RNA
Source: RNAcentral
UACGUAGGGUGCAAGCCGUUGUCCGGAAUUAUUGGGCGUAAAGAGCUCGUAGGCGGCUUGUCGCGUCGGCUGUGAAAACCUCGGGGCUCAACCCCGGGCCUGCAGCCGAUACGGGCAAGGCUAGAAUUCGGUAGGGGAGACUGGGAAUUCCUGGUGUAGCGGUGAAAUGCGACAGAUAUCAGGAAGAACACCCGUGGCUAAGGCGGCUCUCGUAGUACGGUACUGACGCUGAAGACGCGAAAGCGUGGGGAGCGAACAGG